This 461-nucleotide ribosomal RNA is filed under the name uncultured bacterium. Its description in RNAcentral is "bacterial SSU rRNA". It matches the Rfam family "Bacterial small subunit ribosomal RNA", at positions 917 to 1382 of the family's 1533-position model. The record is from RNAcentral.
GGACCCGCACAAGCGGUGGAUGAUGUGGUUUAAUUCGAUGCAACGCGAAAAACCUUACCCACCUUUGACAUGUACGGAAUUUGCCAGAGAUGGCUUAGUGCUCGAAAGAGAGCCGUAACACAGGUGCUGCAUGGCUGUCGUCAGCUCGUGUCGUGAGAUGUUGGGUUAAGUCCCGCAACGAGCGCAACCCUUGUCAUUAGUUGCUACGAAAGGGCACUCUAAUGAGACUGCCGGUGACAAACCGGAGGAAGGUGGGGAUGACGUCAAGUCCUCAUGGCCCUUAUAGGUGGGGCUACACACGUCAUACAAUGGCUGGUACAGAGGGUUGCCAACCCGCGAGGGGGAGCUAAUCCCAUAAAACCAGUCGUAGUCCGGAUCGCAGUCUGCAACUCGACUGCGUGAAGUCGGAAUCGCUAGUAAUCGCGGAUCAGAAUGUCGCGGUGAAUACGUUCCCGGGUCUU